GGCUGGUCUGAAGGUGGUGAGUUAUUUCAAGUGAUUGUUCACUGUCAGUUACAGAUUGAACUUGUUCUACUCUUUCCCCUUGUCUUCCUACUGCACUUGACUAGUCAUAA
Nomascus leucogenys (northern white-cheeked gibbon) is the source of this 110-nucleotide unclassified non-coding RNA. It matches the Rfam family "Y RNA". From Rfam's summary of the family: Y RNAs are components of the Ro ribonucleoprotein particle (Ro RNP), in association with Ro60 and La proteins. The Y RNAs and Ro60 and La proteins are well conserved, but the function of the Ro RNP is not known. The record is from Ensembl. NCBI's taxonomy places the organism in Eukaryota, Metazoa, Chordata, Mammalia, Primates, Hylobatidae.